Molecule: small RNA, 140 nt
Filed under: Salmonella enterica subsp. enterica serovar Itami str. SA20014991
Lineage: Bacteria; Pseudomonadati; Pseudomonadota; Gammaproteobacteria; Enterobacterales; Enterobacteriaceae
Description: Hfq binding sRNA
Rfam family: STnc490 Hfq binding RNA
Source: RNAcentral
AACCCCCAGGCUAGGCAUCGGGGGGUUUCCGGGAAAAGGCCUUUUCAGCUUUAAACUGCCAGUUAAUUAAAACCCCCUUUUGAUUUGUUAAAACAUCAUUGCGGUCUGGCAACUGCAAAAGUUCAACAAGAAAUCAAAAA